This 1183-nucleotide long non-coding RNA is filed under the name Ananas comosus (pineapple). RNAcentral's name for it is "long non-coding RNA (ACOM_LNC003442)". Lineage: Eukaryota; Viridiplantae; Streptophyta; Magnoliopsida; Poales; Bromeliaceae. The record is from RNAcentral.
GAUAAAGAGAAAUUAAAAGUUUGUUUCAUUACGUUAUUUAUUUUACGUAAUAAAAGAGGAAUCAAAUUUUUUUUCCCACCAAAAAAAUAGGUCAGUCACAGAUUGAAAUCGCUUUUAUAUAUAGUAUAGAUAGAUAAAUAGUAUAGAUAUUAUAUUAUAGACAGAGAUAAGGAAUUAGAAGUAAACAAAUUUUGAAUUAAAAUAUAAAUUUGCAGUAAAUAUUUUCCGGUUGGCAAAAAUUUGGAUAAGUAUAAAUUUUUUUUCUGUUGUAAAAAUAAAGAAGAAUUAAAAGUUUGUUUAAUUCUGUUAUUUAUUUUACGUAAGAAAGAGAAAUUAAUUUUUUUCCCUACAAAAUGGGUUGCCGAUAGACCGAAAUUUAAAAUACGUGCUUAUAUAUAUAUAGAGUUGAGCUAGAAUGCUAUCGGUAACAAACUGGCUGGAAUAUUUAAAUUGACAAUCGGCACCAUUGAACAGGAUCUAUACCACUUGAAGUAUCUAGAAACUAAAUUUCAAAUCAUUUCGACAUCAUUAACCUAAUGAUAAAAAGGUUUCAAAAUUUAUAAUUUUAAUGGUAGAUAUGUGACGUUUUUUUAUUUAACGGUAUAAAGCUAUCCAAAUUAAUUGAAUUUUGGUUAGAAAAUUCUUUAAACUAUUUAGAAUAAGAUCUAUACUCUCGAUCUUGAUUGCAAAAUUCCUAUCAUCAUUUUUUAGAGGAUAUUCAUUUGUAGCCGUUCAUUUUUACGCCCACUUGAUCGACAAGAGAAUAAUAUCGGAAAAGCAUAAAAUUUGAUUUCCAGAUACUUUAAGUGGUAUAGAUCAUAUUCAACGGUAUCGAUCGUCGAUUUGAAAGCUCAAUCAUCGAAAACAAAUGGGUGGCAACGGAGCCCGUUUGCUGCCGAUAGUAUUCUAGCUCAACUCUAUAUAUAUAUAUAUAUAGAGAGAGAGAGAACUAGGUUGGAAUACUAUCAAUAGCACUAAGCUAUUGGUGCUAUUGAUUUUUUAGCCCUUGGAUUGAAAAAUAGGUGGUUAAGACGUGGGCCCCCAAGAGUUGAGUGAGUGGCUGGUUGAAUAGUUUAAUCUAACGGGUAAAAAGAAUCAAAAAGUUAAAUCUAACAGUGGAAAACUCGAUAUCACCAAAUUCUUGGUGCUAUUGAUAGUAUCCCAGCCGGACUUUAUAUAUAUA